This 77-nucleotide transfer RNA is filed under the name Thermoleophilia bacterium. RNAcentral describes it as "tRNA-Arg". It matches the Rfam family "tRNA". From Rfam's summary of the family: Transfer RNA (tRNA) molecules are approximately 80 nucleotides in length. Their secondary structure includes four short double-helical elements and three loops (D, anti-codon, and T loops). Lineage: Bacteria; Bacillati; Actinomycetota; Thermoleophilia. The record is from RNAcentral.
GCGCCUGUAGCUCAGCCGGACAGAGCAUCUGCCUUCUAAGCAGAGGGCCGCAGGUUCGAGCCCUGCCAGGCGCGCCA